This 231-nucleotide long non-coding RNA is filed under the name Ananas comosus (pineapple). RNAcentral describes it as "long non-coding RNA (ACOM_LNC042347)". Lineage: Eukaryota; Viridiplantae; Streptophyta; Magnoliopsida; Poales; Bromeliaceae. The record is from RNAcentral.
GUUAAAGUCCAGAAAGGAAAUAAGAUAAUAGUAUAGGCAAAUGAUAUAAAAUAUCAUUGUGGCAAAUUGUGUAUAUAUUGAGGCAUUGUAGUUAUAAUUGAUUACUCGCAUUUCUGUUAUAGAGAUAGAUGUUUUGUUAGUAUCAUUAUUUACUAAUGCUUACUUUGAACCGAGUAAGUGUAGAGUGUUACUUUCUGUUGUUGUAUAUAUCCACUGAAAACUUAUUUUAAG